AUGACACGCACUAUCCAGUCCCAGGGGAAACCCAAGGCGGGACGAGGGGAGGAGGUGUGCCUUUUCGCCCCCUCUCCCUGCUUCCACCCCGAGGCCUUAUUCUCCCUUAGUUCCUAUCCCCAUCCCCGUACCCGAAUCCACUCACCACCCCCGGGGCAGGGGCAGGCCCGACCCGGGAUGGAGAAGGAAGGGAAACUCCCCCGGAGCCGAGAAAGUCCUGGCCGCCCCGCCCGACUCAGGGGCAGGCCACUCUGGACCGAGAGUAGGAGUUGUACGCAGGCAAUGGUGGCAGGGAGCAUCCGCCCCUGCCCUCCGGCCAUUGGCCAGUGGGUCUUCACGUCGAGAAACCUUCCCUUUCCACUGGCGGGACCAGCUGUCAAAUGGGCACGGUUGCGGUGAGGCGCGGUUCCCUCUGGGAAAUGUAGUCCCAGUAGUCAAUAGUCAAACUAAGUGCCUACUGUGUACCAGGCGCUAUGCUAAGCGCUGACAAUGUAAACACGAAGACGAAAAAAUGUCCCUGCCCUCAAGUAGUUUAGAAUCUAAUGAGGGAAGACAGCAAAUAGAGGCGGGGAACAGUUGGGGGAGGGAAGGUCAUGUCCCGACUGGAGCAGUCAGAUAAGAAAUGAGGAGAAAGGACUCAGAGCCAAAUGUUUGUCUCUUCUUCACUUUGAUAGAUGAAGAAAUUGAAGCAUUCUGAAGGAUAAUGACUUGUGUAAAGUUACACAGAAAGUGGAAUUGUAGGGAUUUUGACUGGGGCGGGGAGGGGAGGGAUUCGGGGAGAGUAUUUAGACUCCAAAUCCAGGGCUCUUCACACCCCACCAAUAAGACUGUCAGGUUGCUUCCAGGGGCUGAAAGAGCUUACCUUUGUUGCAGAAUAUGUAGACUUCCUUGAUGUCUCCUUAAUUCUGAGACCCUAGAAGACCCUGCCUAAUAUUAAUGAUAGCUAGCAUUCAUAAAGGACUUUAAAGUUCAAGACGUUUUCAAUAUUAACGUUUGCAAUACUAUUUUAUUUUAUUCUCAAAACCAGGGAAGUGAGGGCUAUUAUUUUAGAGAUGAGGAAACUGAUGAAGCCAAACGUUAAGUAAUUUGCCCAGGGUCACACAGUCAGAAAGUGUAUGAGGUUUGAAAUUAAGACUUCUUGACCUAACAGCCAUUUUCAGUUGCCCCUGUGUAACUACUUUGCUUGCUGCACUGUGCUGGCACUACAUAGCUAGGUUGUUGUGGAAUAUGAGCCCCCUGAGGACUAGGAAAUUUUCUUGUGCUGUGAACAUAAUAAAUAUUUAAUUAGUAUUUGUUGAAUUGAGUUU
Molecule: long non-coding RNA, 1307 nt
Filed under: Monodelphis domestica (gray short-tailed opossum)
Lineage: Eukaryota; Metazoa; Chordata; Mammalia; Didelphimorphia; Didelphidae
Description: lncRNA (ENSMODG00000044192.1)
Source: RNAcentral